CAGUCGCCGCGGUAAUACGUAGGUGGCAAGCGUUGUCCGGAAUUAUUGGGCGUAAAGGGCUCGCAGGCGGUUUCUUAAGUCUGAGGUGAAAGCCCCCGGCUCAACCGGGGAGGGUCAUUGGAAACUGGGAAACUUGAGUGCAGAAGAGGAGAGUGGAAUUCCACGUGUAGCGGUGAAAUGCGUAGAGAUGUGGAGGAACACCAGUGGCGAAGGCGACUCUCUGGUCUGUAACUGACGCUGAGGAGCGAAAGCGUGGGGAGCGAACAGGAUUAGAUACCCGGGUAGUCCCUGUCUCUUAUAC
This 301-nucleotide ribosomal RNA is filed under the name uncultured bacterium. RNAcentral describes it as "partial 16S ribosomal RNA". It matches the Rfam family "Bacterial small subunit ribosomal RNA", at positions 509 to 807 of the family's 1533-position model. The record is from RNAcentral.